AUUUAAGCCUCUUGCGACUAAAAUAAUAUUAACAGACAUACUAGGGAACCAAUACGAAAAAUAGAACAAGGCAGGGAUAAAAUAGACUCAAUAAGUAAAUAGGAAAAACUUACGUAAUAUAGUUCAAAUAUGCAAAUUUUACCUUAAACUAGAUCAAACACGAGGCAAGAACACGUUAACCUACUUCAAUGCUUAAGACAGCAAACUUGGAGAGUAUAAAAAAGAAAGUAAUUCUUGCUUAAUGCACAUAAACAACCAGGGAAAAGAAAUUAAACAAAUCUAGCUCGAGCAAAAUAUUCAAACUCAUUUAAAGAUGGGGAAUAUGUCAAACCAUGACCAGUCCAAGAGAGAACUAGCAACUAAUACAAAAUAAAAAUCAGUCCAGCACCUGGUAUUCUCUAAGCAGACAUGAAAGAAAAAAAAGAAAAGAAAAAGAAAAGCUCUAUCGAAGACAAAAGAGGGAGACUUUCAUGCAUCUGCAAGUUUAACACAUGAUGGAGUCCUAAAUCAGUUUUAUACAAAUACAUUCAAACCAACGAAUCAUAAGAUUGAGAAAGGAAAACCAAAAGAUAGCAAAGAGAAGCAGAGUACUAGAAAUAACAUUUAAAUCUUACGAAAACCAGAGAGGCUAGCAGGGAAAAGGGUGCAAACUUAUAUUCUAUACUGUACAAGAAACAAAUUUUAGACUCAACAAUAGACCAAGGUUACAUAAUUAAACGGACAAUGCCAAACAUGAUUUCAAUGAACAAGACAUAAUUAAGAGCCAACAAAAAUAGAGAAAAGAUUACCUAGUUCUGGGCAGCGAACUGGACGGGCGAGUUUGACGGAGACGAUUCCACCUCUUUCAACU
Molecule: long non-coding RNA, 850 nt
Filed under: Solanum tuberosum (potato)
Lineage: Eukaryota; Viridiplantae; Streptophyta; Magnoliopsida; Solanales; Solanaceae
Description: long non-coding RNA (STUB_LNC010963)
Source: RNAcentral